Molecule: long non-coding RNA, 461 nt
Organism: Solanum tuberosum (potato)
Lineage: Eukaryota; Viridiplantae; Streptophyta; Magnoliopsida; Solanales; Solanaceae
Exons: 4
Source: RefSeq, a predicted model, not a curated record
ACGUCAGGUAGUAGAAAUAAGAAAAAAAAAUGAAAACUUAAAAAAUAUGGAUCUAUCUAGAUUGUGGAAGGAGACCAAACAUGCACCGAUGGAAUCUGAUUUUUGAGAUUAGGAAAGUCAGCUUCCUAUUUAGAUCGUCGCUGGUCAGAGCUAGAUCCGUCAUCUCUAAGCUCAUGUGUGCUUUUUCAUAUCACUGUAUCACACUGGAAAUAAGAUUUUGAUUGAAAUUGUAUUUAGAUCUAGAGUUGUUCCGUCAACAAUCGUAUGUUUCAUGAAAUGGUGAUGUCUUCUUCAGCUCUAUUUUGCCUCGAUGUUACUCUAUUUGGGAUGAUCAACUAAGAGUUAGAGGUUAAUUCAGAUGCUGCCAGAUAUUGCUAACAAAGUUGUUUGGAACUGAAGAAGCUAACACGUCAUUUAUGCAAUGAAAUUGUAUUAGAUUUAAAUAUUAAUACCGCUAAAGU